Long non-coding RNA from Serinus canaria (Common canary), 311 nucleotides. RefSeq lists it as uncharacterized. NCBI's taxonomy places the organism in Eukaryota, Metazoa, Chordata, Aves, Passeriformes, Fringillidae. The record is from RefSeq and is a predicted model, not a curated record. The transcript is spliced from 3 exons.
CCAGUCCUAUCUUGAGAUGGGUAUGAGCUCACAUGCAUAGUGUUAGUGUUUGCUUUGGAGAGUCAGUUCUGGAAUGAAGAACGUCUUUGGACCUGCUUUCCUGACCUCUGUGUGAAUCAGUGGUCACUCCUCAAUAAAGAGCUGUAGAGGAGGACCUGCUUGCUGCUUUAUCUCCAUGGGAAUCCUCAGGCCUGAUGGAUGGAUGUGGAACAUCUUUGUGAAGCUUUGAAAAAUUAUUAAGAAGCAGAGAAUUUUCCUCUACCUGCUGAUCACUUCUGAAGCAAGAUGGAAGAUCUGAUGGACCAAAACUC